UACAGAGGGGGCAAGCGUUAUUCGGAAUUAUUGGGCGUAAAGGGCGCGUAGGCGGCCAUUCAAGUGACGGGUGAAAGCCCUCGGCUUAACCGAGGAACUGCCUGUCAGACUGGAUGGCUUGAGACCGGGAGAGGUGAGUGGAAUUCCCAGUGUAGCGGUGAAAUGCGUAGAUAUUGGGAGGAACACCAGUGGCGAAGGCGGCUCACUGGACCGGAACUGACGCUGAGGCGCGAAGGUCAGGGGAGCAAACGGG
Molecule: ribosomal RNA, 253 nt
Filed under: uncultured bacterium
Lineage: Bacteria
Description: partial 16S ribosomal RNA
Rfam family: Bacterial small subunit ribosomal RNA
Source: RNAcentral